This 430-nucleotide ribosomal RNA is filed under the name uncultured bacterium. Its description in RNAcentral is "bacterial SSU rRNA". It matches the Rfam family "Bacterial small subunit ribosomal RNA", at positions 30 to 507 of the family's 1533-position model. The record is from RNAcentral.
AUUGAACGCUGGCGGCAUGCUUUACACAUGCAAGUCGAACGGACCCUUCGGGGUUAGUGGCGGACGGGUGAGUAACACGUGGGAACGUGCCUUUAGGUUCGGAAUAGCUCCUGGAAACGGGUGGUAAUGCCGAAUGUGCCCUUCGGGGAAAGAUUUAUCGCCUUUAGAGCGGCCCGCGUCUGAUUAGCUAGUUGGUGGGGUAAUGGCCCACCAAGGCUACGAUCAGUAGCUGGUCUGAGAGGAUGACCAGCCACAUUGGGACUGAGACACGGCCCAAACUCCUACGGGAGGCAGCAGUGGGGAAUCUUGCGCAAUGGGCGAAAGCCUGACGCAGCCAUGCCGCGUGUAUGAUGAAGGUCUUAGGAUUGUAAAUACUUUCACCGGUGAAGAUAAUGACUGUAGCCGGAGAAGAAGCCCGGCUAACUUCGUG